Molecule: ribosomal RNA, 498 nt
Filed under: uncultured bacterium
Lineage: Bacteria
Description: bacterial SSU rRNA
Rfam family: Bacterial small subunit ribosomal RNA
Source: RNAcentral
UAGUCCAUGCCGUAAACGAUGAUUACUCGAUAUUGGCAUUUAUGUCAGUGUCCAAGCGAAAGUAUUAAGUAAUCCACCUGGGGAGUACGAUCGCAAGGUCGAAACUCAAAGGAAUUGACGGGGGCCCGCACAAGCGGUGGAGCAUGUGGUUUAAUUCGAUGAUACGCGAGGAACCUUACCAAGGCUUAAAUGUAGAACGACAGGUCUGGAAACAGAUUUUUCUUCGGACGAUCUACAAGGUGCUGCAUGGUUGUCGUCAGCUCGUGCCGUGAGGUGUCGGGUUAAGUCCCAUAACGAGCGCAACCCCUAUCCUUCAGUUGCUAGCAGGUAAUGCUGAGGACUCUGAGGAAACUGCCCGCGCAAGCGGUGAGGAAGGUGGGGAUGACGUCAAAUCAUCACGGCCCUUACGUCUUGGGCUACACACGUGCUACAAUGGCAGGUACAAAGGGCAGCUACAUGGCAACAUGAUGCUAAUCUCUAAAACCUGUCUCAGUUUGG